CGACCGGCGCACGGGUGCGUAACGCGUAUGCAACCUACCUUUAACAGGGGGAUAACACUGAGAAAUUGGUACUAAUACCCCAUAAUAUCAUAGAAGGCAUCUUUUAUGGUUGAAAAUUCCGAUGGUUAGAGAUGGGCAUGCGUUGUAUUAGCUAGCUGGUGGGGUAACGGCUCACCAAGGCGACGAUACAUAGGGGGACUGAGAGGUUAACCCCCCACACUGGUACUGAGACACGGACCAG
RNAcentral lists this ribosomal RNA (241 nucleotides) under uncultured bacterium. RNAcentral's name for it is "partial 16S ribosomal RNA". It matches the Rfam family "Bacterial small subunit ribosomal RNA", at positions 92 to 334 of the family's 1533-position model. The record is from RNAcentral.